RNAcentral lists this long non-coding RNA (731 nucleotides) under Physcomitrium patens. RNAcentral describes it as "long non-coding RNA (PPAT_LNC009425)". Lineage: Eukaryota; Viridiplantae; Streptophyta; Bryopsida; Funariales; Funariaceae. The record is from RNAcentral.
UUUGUUUAACAAAAUAAAUCAAGCACUUCAAACAUUUAUUUUUAUUUAUCUUCAUGUCCAAAGUUAGACCCACUCAAAGCUGCAUAACAAAUCAUUUCAAAAGCAUGGCCCAACACGUGAGGUCCCACAGUUCGGCAGAGUAAAAGUAACGAAGUCCAUUGAGAUCCCUCCCCACUGGCCUUACUAUUUGCAAACAAGGCAUGACAAUGGGCUAGCAUCAUCCAAAAGCUACCACUGUACCUCUACGCCAUUGGCCUACAACACAGUUUCCGCACUGUUUUCAUAUACUUAGAAGAUGCUCAUAGUUGACUCAUAGCCUGCCAGUAAUAUCCAGAACUUCAGAAGCAGAAAAUGGUGAAAAAGGACCCACAAAAGCAGAGGCAAAGACGGACUUUUUCCAGCUUCAUCUCACAAAAUACCAGUGAAGUAACGAAGUAGAGAUUUGUACUUGCGGAUCUUACUGAGCCUGGAAUCAUGGGAUCGCGAAAACAAGGAUAGAUCAAUAAGGUACUAAUCCAAAGUUGUUGCGAUCCCUGCAGUGGACCAGUGCCAUCCACAAGUGAGUGUUGUAAUGUUUUAGUUUUUAGUUUUUAAUUUUUAAUUUUUUCCAUUUGGGGAAGACGAUCUAUUGUGCAGGAAUAGUUCCAAGGAACUGACAUGAGUUUUGUAUGCACAUAACUGCUCACAGUUGGAUCUCCACUGUUGCUGAAUCAACAUGACGGGACUCGCCG